This 987-nucleotide ribosomal RNA is filed under the name human gut metagenome. RNAcentral's name for it is "bacterial LSU rRNA". It matches the Rfam family "Bacterial large subunit ribosomal RNA", at positions 1886 to 2867 of the family's 2925-position model. The record is from RNAcentral.
GGGGUUAGCGCAAGCGAAGCUCUUGAUCGAAGCCCCGGUAAACGGCGGCCGUAACAAUAACGGUCCUAAGGUAGCGAAAUUCCUUGUCAGGUAAGUUCUGACCCGCACGAAUGGCGUAAUGAUUUGGGCACUGUCUCAACAGCCCGCCCGGCGAAAUUGUAGUACCGGUGAAGAUGCCGGUUACCCGCGACUAGACGGAAAGACCCCAUGGAGCUUUACUGUAGCUUAAUAUUGGAUUUCGGCAUUUCAUGUACAGGAUAGGUGGGAGACUAGGAAACAUAGGCGUCAGCUUAUGUGGAGUCGUCCUUGGGAUACCACUCUUGGAGUGCUGAAAUUCUAACCUGCAGCCCUGAAUCGGGUUGGGGGACAUUGUUAGGUGGGCAGUUUGACUGGGGCGGUCGCCUCCAAAAAGGUAACGGAGGCGCUCAAAGGUUGGCUCAGCAUGGAUGGAAACCAUGCCAUAGAGUGCAAACGCAAAAGCCAGCCUGACUGCGAGACUGACGGGUCGAGCAGAAACGAAAGUUGGAGUUAGUGAUCCGGCGGUAUGUGAAUGGAAAUGCCGUCGCUCAACGGAUAAAAGCUACCCUGGGGAUAACAGGCUGAUCUCCCCCAAGCGUCCACAGCGACGGGGAGGUUUGGCACCUUGAUGUCGGCUCGUCACAUCCUGGGGCUGAAUUCGGUCCCAAGGGUUCGGCUGUUCGCCGAUUAAAGUGGCACGCGAGCUGGGUUCAGAACGUCGUGAGACAGUUCGGUCCCUAUCUGUCGUGGGCGUAGGAUAUUUGAAAGGCGCUGUCCCUAGUACGAGAGGACCGGGAUGGACGCACCUCUGGUGCACCAGUUGUCACGCCAGUGGCACAGCUGGGCAGCUAAGUGCGGAUCGGAUAAACGCUGAAAGCAUCUAAGCGUGAAGCCGUCCUUAAGAUAAGAUAUCCCACUGAGUCAAUCAGGUAAGACCCCUUGAAGACUACAAGGUUGAUAGGCACACAG